UCUUUCCCCAGAGGUGUUGCAGGUAUAGCUGUUGGGUCACCUGUGUGACUGUAUGUGACAGAGAAGAGAAAGGCUAUGUAUAUGUUAAGUGUUCUGACUUAUGAUCAUCUGAUUAGUAGCUUAACAUU
Grammomys surdaster is the source of this 128-nucleotide small nucleolar RNA. RefSeq annotates it as small nucleolar RNA SNORA17. Lineage: Eukaryota; Metazoa; Chordata; Mammalia; Rodentia; Muridae. The transcript has a single exon. The record is from RefSeq and is a predicted model, not a curated record.